RNAcentral lists this unclassified non-coding RNA (143 nucleotides) under uncultured fungus. RNAcentral's name for it is "sequence contains ITS1, 5.8S rRNA gene". Lineage: Eukaryota; Fungi. The record is from RNAcentral.
CUGAGUUAUAGAUUGGUUUCGGCUGAUCAACUCUCACCCAUGUAUUGAUUGAUUGUUGCUUCGGUAGGGAGUCUGCGUAGCAGAUGAUCUACCAAAGUAGUAAACUUCAUGUCUUGCAGUCUGAGACUACAUUCAAUUUAAAA